UUAACUCAAAUAUGUAUGGAGUUGGAAUGUUUACCCACGUUUGCUGCUAGGGGCCCUGUUCUAACUCCACACAAAUGUGAGUUA
Molecule: non-coding RNA, 84 nt
Organism: Bombyx mori (domestic silkworm)
Lineage: Eukaryota; Metazoa; Arthropoda; Insecta; Lepidoptera; Bombycidae
Source: Rfam